GGGGUUGUGGCUCAGUGGUAGAGUGCUCACCUAGCAUGUGCAAGGCCCUGGGUUCGAUCUUCAGCACCACA
Molecule: transfer RNA, 71 nt
Filed under: Marmota monax (woodchuck)
Lineage: Eukaryota; Metazoa; Chordata; Mammalia; Rodentia; Sciuridae
Description: tRNA.Ala
Source: RNAcentral